GACGAACGCUGGCGGCGUGCUUAACACAUGCAAGUCGAACGGAAAGGCCCUGCUUUUGUGGGGUGCUCGAGUGGCGAACGGGUGAGUAACACGUGAGUAACCUGCCCUUGACUUUGGGAUAACUUCAGGAAACUGGGGCUAAUACCGGAUAGGAGCUCCUGCUGCAUGGUGGGGGUUGGAAAGUUUCGGCGGUUGGGGAUGGACUCGCGGCUUAUCAGCUUGUUGGUGGGGUAGUGGCUUACCAAGGCUUUGACGGGUAGCCGGCCUGUGAGGGUGACCGGCCACAUUGGGACUGAGAUACGGCCCAGACUCCUACGGGCGGCAGCAGUGGGGAAUAUUGCACAAUGGGCGGAAGCCUGAUGCAGCAACGCCGCGUGCGGGAUGACGGCCUUCGGGUUGUAAACCGCUUUCGCCUGUGACGAAGCGUGAGUGACGGUAAUGGGGAAAGAAGCACCGGCUAACUACGU
RNAcentral lists this ribosomal RNA (467 nucleotides) under uncultured bacterium. RNAcentral's name for it is "partial 16S ribosomal RNA". It matches the Rfam family "Bacterial small subunit ribosomal RNA", at positions 28 to 506 of the family's 1533-position model. The record is from RNAcentral.